Long non-coding RNA from Cercocebus atys (sooty mangabey), 593 nucleotides. RefSeq lists it as uncharacterized. The transcript is spliced from 3 exons. The record is from RefSeq and is a predicted model, not a curated record. NCBI's taxonomy places the organism in Eukaryota, Metazoa, Chordata, Mammalia, Primates, Cercopithecidae.
UGAAGGUGCAGCUACCAAUACUCACAUUUUUACCAUAGGAUUCUGCAUUCCUGGACAUGAUUGAGUGGACCAGCGUAGGACACCUGACUCAAGAUGGAUUAAUGAAGAGAGAAGAUAAGAAUGUGACAAAUAUGGAGAAGCCAUGAUCUCAUCAUCUUGGGGGAAGUGGAGCAGGAAAAUAAAAGGAAGUAAAAAGAGAAAGAAAAAGACAGCUGAUCUGCAAACGAACAUGAAUGGACCAGUCCUGGCUCCUCUCUUGACUGGUCCAUCCUGCAUGGGAACAUGCAUGCUUUUUGUCUCUCCAUGACUAUAAUUUAAUAGUAAACAACCACUACUACACCAUCUGCAGUAGCAGCCCAAUGUAAUUCUCAUGGAGCCAACGGAUAUUGUAAUAACACUACUUAAGAACAAGAAAACACCGAUGAUGCACUUCUCUCUUUGAGAGAAUGGAGACUGAUUCAAGUUUCCUGGAGAAAUGGAGCUUAUUGUAAGGCUGCACAUAUCCAUCGUAAGGGAGAUGGGCAUCAGAGGAAAAGAAGUAAUACUGGUUAUUAACUAUCCAAUUGCUUUUCUUUCCCCCAGCAGCAAGAAGA